RNAcentral lists this ribosomal RNA (767 nucleotides) under Funneliformis caledonium. RNAcentral describes it as "eukaryotic LSU rRNA". It matches the Rfam family "Eukaryotic large subunit ribosomal RNA", at positions 38 to 648 of the family's 3401-position model. The record is from RNAcentral. Lineage: Eukaryota; Fungi; Glomeromycota; Glomeromycetes; Glomerales; Glomeraceae.
GCAUAUCAAUAAGCGGAGGAAAAGAAAAUAACAAUGAUUCCCUCAGUAACGGCGAGCGAAGAGGGAUAAGCUCAAAUUUUAAAUCUGUUGGGUUUCACCUAACAGAGUUGUAUUUUGAAGAAACGUCUUCUGCGUCCAGGAUUAGCCUAAAUCCUUUGGGAUAAGGUAUCAUGGAGGGUGAGAAUCCCGUUCAUGGUUAAUCUUAAGGAUGCUCUACGAUACGUUCUCCAAGAGUCGAGUUGUUUGGGAUUGCAGCUCAAAAUGGGAGGUAAAUUUCUCCUAAGGCUAAAUAUUGGCGAGAGACCGAUAGCGAACAAGUACCGUGAGGGAAAGAUGAAAAGAACUUUGAAAAGAGAGUUAAACAGUACGUGAAAUUGUUGAAAGGGAAACGAUUGAAGUCAGUCAUACUAACGGGAAAUCAACCUCUUGAGUUUGGUCUCGUGGGUUUCGAAGAGUUUAAAAGCCUUCGGAUUUUCGAGAUUGGGCUCUUCUGGUGUACUUUCUCGUACGGUUAGUCAACAUCGGUUUUGAAUGUCAUAAAAUGACUGGAGGAAUGUGGCUUCGAUCUCGUAUUGAAGUGUUAUAACCUUUGGUAGAUGUGAUGUUUGAGACCGAGGAUUGCAACGGAUACCCUUCUGGGCUAUUCGUCUGAUCUCUGAAACGUUGCCUUGAUGUCGAAAGCUUGCUUAUGAUGUUAGGGUAUUACGGUCAAAAGGUUAGAACGGAUUAAAUUCGUUAAGGAUGUUGACGUAAUGGCUUUAAACGAC